AAGUCGUAACAAGGUUUCCGUAGGUGAACCUGCGGAAGGAUCAUUAGAAAUGCACUGUCUUUUUCUCCUUUGGAAAACUAAACAUUUUCUUUGGGCUGGAAAACACAUCGUUUCCUGGCUCUCUAAGUCCAGGAGGAAUUUUUAAUUUCUCAUGGGCCUUGCGAGUCGGAUUUCUUUUCAAUGGGAAUUAACAUGGCAAUAUUUAUGUUGCUGUUUGUUGUUCCCUUGAAAUUCAAUCUACACCUAUAAUUUUGUCUGAACCUUUUUAUUAUACUUUGUGUAUUUUCUUUUACGAAAUUACAUGAUUUAUAAACAAAUAAUAUAAAACAACUUUCAACAAUGGAUCCCUCGGUUCUCC
RNAcentral lists this unclassified non-coding RNA (358 nucleotides) under fungal sp. RNAcentral's name for it is "partial internal transcribed spacer region". The stretch from base 1 to 46 matches the Rfam family "Eukaryotic small subunit ribosomal RNA", at positions 1786 to 1831 of the family's 1831-position model. Lineage: Eukaryota; Fungi. The record is from RNAcentral.